UGGGGAAUUUUGGACAAUGGGCGAAAGCCUGAUCCAGCAAUGCCGCGUGUGUGAAGAAGGCCUUCGGGUUGUAAAGCACUUUUGUCCGGAAAGAAAUCCUUGGCUCUAAUACAGUCGGGGGAUGACGGUACCGGAAGAAUAAGCACCGGCUAACUACGUGCCAGCAGCCGCGGUAAUACGUAGGGUGCAAGCGUUAAUCGGAAUUACUGGGCGUAAAGCGUGCGCAGGCGGUUUGCUAAGACCGAUGUGAAAUCCCCGGGCUCAACCUGGGAACUGCAUUGGUGACUGGCAGGCUAGAGUAUGGCAGAGGGGGGUAGAAUUCCACGUGUAGCAGUGAAAUGCGUAGAGAUGUGGAGGAAUACCGAUGGCGAAGGCAGCCCCCUGGGCCAAUACUGACGCUCAUGCACGAAAGCGUGGGGAGCAAACAGGAUUAGAUACCCUGGUAGUCCACGCCCUAAAACGAUGUCAACUAGUUGUUGGGGAUUCAUUUCCUUAGUAACGUAGCUAACGCGU
Molecule: ribosomal RNA, 513 nt
Filed under: uncultured bacterium
Lineage: Bacteria
Description: partial 16S ribosomal RNA
Rfam family: Bacterial small subunit ribosomal RNA
Source: RNAcentral